This 293-nucleotide unclassified non-coding RNA is filed under the name uncultured fungus. RNAcentral's name for it is "partial contains small subunit ribosomal RNA, internal transcribed spacer 1, and 5.8S ribosomal RNA". The stretch from base 1 to 73 matches the Rfam family "Eukaryotic small subunit ribosomal RNA", at positions 1759 to 1831 of the family's 1831-position model. Lineage: Eukaryota; Fungi. The record is from RNAcentral.
GCAAACUUGGUCAUUUAGAGGAAGUAAAAGUCGUAACAAGGUUUUCGUAGGUGAACCUGCGGAAGGAUCAUUACUGAAGUUUAAGGGGAGUGCUGGCCCGACAGGGCAUGUGCACCCCUUCCUUCAUCCACACACACCCGUGCACCAAUCGAGGUGGGCUCUCGUCGUAGGGCCUGCCUACAUUUUCACAAACUCUUUGCUCGACUUGGAAAGUAGACGCGGCGCUGCCGCAAAAUUAAUACACAACUUUCAACAACGGAUCUCUUGGUUCUCGCAUCGAUGAAGAACGCAGC